Long non-coding RNA from Eptesicus fuscus (big brown bat), 208 nucleotides. RefSeq lists it as uncharacterized. The record is from RefSeq and is a predicted model, not a curated record. NCBI's taxonomy places the organism in Eukaryota, Metazoa, Chordata, Mammalia, Chiroptera, Vespertilionidae. The transcript has 3 exons.
CAAAUAGAGAAGUAAAGAAGAAAGUACAUCGAGUAGGUCCUCGGGUUACAUUGGAGAUCUGUUCCUACAGUGCGAAGUGAAGCAAUUUUUGCCAGUCUCAGAUUUGGUAUUCCUGGCCUCCCACCCCUUCAGCCUGCAUUUUCCUGGACAUUUUAUUAUUUUCUGGGUUUGCCCAAACUGGACGUGGUCAAUGUAAACAUCUGCUUAC